RNAcentral lists this ribosomal RNA (527 nucleotides) under Botryosphaeria dothidea. Its description in RNAcentral is "eukaryotic LSU rRNA". The stretch from base 166 to 319 matches the Rfam family "5.8S ribosomal RNA". The record is from RNAcentral. Lineage: Eukaryota; Fungi; Ascomycota; Dothideomycetes; Botryosphaeriales; Botryosphaeriaceae.
GCUCGUGCCCGAUCCUCCCCCCUUUGUGUACCUACCUCUGUUGCUUUGGCGGUCCGCGGUCCUCCGCGGCCGCCCCCCUCCCCGGGGGGGGGGCCAGCGCCCGCCAGAGGACCAUCAAACUCCAUUCAGUAAACGAUGCAGUCUGAAAAACAUUUAAUAAACUAAAACUUUCAACAACGGAUCUCUUGGUUCUGGCAUCGAUGAAGAACGCAUGAAAAUGCGAUAAAUAAUGUGAAUUGCAGAAUUCAUGGAAUCAUCGAAUCUUUGAACGCACAUUGCGCCCUUUGGUAUUCCUAAGGGAAUGCCUGUUCGAGCGUCAUUACAACCCUCAAGCUCUGCUUGGUAUUGGGCACCGGCCUUUGCGGGCGCGCCUCAAAGACCUCGGCGGCGGCGUCUUGCCUCAAGCGUAGUAGAACAUACAUCUCGCUUCGGAGCGCAGGGCGUCGCCCGCCGGACGAACCUUCUGAACUUUUCUCAAGGUUGACCUCGGAUCAGGUAGGGAUACCCGCUGAACUUAAGCAUAUCAA